GACGAACGCUGGCGGCGCGCCUAACACAUGCAAGUCGAACGGAGUCAAGAGGAGCUUGCUUUUCUUGACUUAGUGGCGAACGGGUGAGUAACGCGUGAGUAACCUGCCCUGGAGUGGGGGACAACAGUUGGAAACGACUGCUAAUACCGCAUAAGCCCACGGAUCCGCAUGGAUCUGCGGGAAAAGGAUUUAUUCGCUUCAGGAUGGACUCGCGUCCAAUUAGCUAGUUGGUGAGGUAACGGCCCACCAAGGCGACGAUUGGUAGCCGGACUGAGAGGUUGAACGGCCACAUUGGGACUGAGACACGGCCCAGACUCCUACGGGAGGGAGCAGUGGGGGAUAUUGCACAAUGGGGGAAACCCUGAUGCAGCGACGCCGCGUGGAGGAAGAAGGUUUUCGGAUUGUAAACUCCUGUCGUUAGGGACGAUAAUGACGGUACCUAACAAGAAAGCACCGGCUAACUACGUG
RNAcentral lists this ribosomal RNA (468 nucleotides) under uncultured bacterium. Its description in RNAcentral is "partial 16S ribosomal RNA". It matches the Rfam family "Bacterial small subunit ribosomal RNA", at positions 28 to 507 of the family's 1533-position model. The record is from RNAcentral.